CAUGAAACUCGGGAUGAAGCUGUUCGGGACGCAAUCAGCUUGGGAGGAAGAUUGAAGUUGAUCCAGUUAGAUGAAGGAUUGAUCGGUUUGAAAGUUUGAUUUCCUUUGUCUGGGAACAGGGGAUGAUGUUCAUGGUUGAAGGAAGAUGCCGGAGGAUACGUGAAUGGGAAGAUAAGGAUGAACCGAGAUAGAAGGAGGGCUGAGAUCCAUGUUUGGGAGUUUGAGGAUGCUGCCGAUGGCUAAAUGCGGCUGGGAGAAAAUAUGGGAAGGCGUUGGAUUCGGUUGAGGACGUGGACGAAGAUGGAUCACAACGGGAUGAGAGCUGGUUUGGUUCUGUUCAUGGGAGAUCUAAUCGGAAGCUGGGAGGAGUGGUUGUGGAUGGAACUGGAUCGUAGAUGCAGGGGAUUCGAGCUUAUCCGGGCUAGCGGAAGCUGAACGGAAGGAGGCUUGGGAACGCAAUCCACGGAAUGGGGAGAGGAUGAGUUCUAGAUUUGGCUGGGAGCGCAUGGGAACAGGGGAUGAGCUUGUCCGUGGAGUUAGUCCGAGCGGGAUGUGAGGAAGAACACUCGGGAUGAGCAUGGGACGUUGAGAUGUUGACGCGGAGAAAUCCGGAAGAAAGAAUCUGCUCUUUGGAUAUGGGAGGGAAGGAACAGGGGAGAUUUGGGAAUGAUAGCAGACGUGGGCGUUUGAGAAGAUCUCUGCUGUGAACUCGCCUGUGGAUAAGAA
This 726-nucleotide long non-coding RNA is filed under the name Phoenix dactylifera (date palm). RNAcentral describes it as "long non-coding RNA (PDAC_LNC015418)". The record is from RNAcentral. Lineage: Eukaryota; Viridiplantae; Streptophyta; Magnoliopsida; Arecales; Arecaceae.